GUGGUGAGGACUCCAAGGGGCCACUGAGACGGGGCCACCCAGAUACCCCUUGUGGACUAUUCUCUGGGUAGCCAGGAACAUGGGGUCCCUCCUGCUUGCCUCUGCGUCCUCUGUAGCCUCUUCCCCAGGUCAGGGCUCCUAAGAACUGGCCAAACCUGGGCUGAUGGGUGGCCAUCAGGAAAGGAUAUUAUAGACAGAGCUGACUAUAUAGACCGGAGUAUGGACACGUAUGCUAGGUUGAAUAGUGUCCCCCCAAAUCCAUGUCCACCUGGAAACCCAGAGUACGACCUUAUUUAGAAAUAGAGCCUUUGCAGAUAUAAUUAGUUAAGUCAAAAAUGAGGUCUUGGGCUUCCCUGGUGGCACAGUGGUUGGGAGUCCGCCUGCCGAUGCAGGGGACGCGGGUUCGUGCCCCGGUCCGGGAGGAUCCCGCAUGCCAUGGAGCAGCUGGGCCUGUGGGCCAUGACUGCUGGGCCUGCACGUUUGGAGCCUGUGCUCCGCAACGGGAGAGGCCACAGCAGUGAGAGGCCCGCGUACCGCAAAAAAAAAAAAAAAAAAAAAAAAAAGGGGGGGAGAGGAGAGGAAGCCACCCCAGAGAAAUGAAACUCAGUCUUCAAGGGGGCUCCAGUCUGCGGUAUGAGUGCCCAUACACCGGGUGCUGUGCUGUUAGGAGAGAAACAGAAUGUGCUCCUUGCCCUCAAGGGCCUCAUGGUCCAGUCCAGUCAGGUCACACCCAAUCCUCUGAUGUUCCUCUCUCCGCCCCUGCACCUGUGACCCAGGGACCCACCUGCAGACGGCACCUCGUGCUGUCCCCAUCUGAGCUCACCCUUUCUUCGCCUGGCCCCAUGUCCCAUCCCCCUCAGCUACUCAGGAAAGAGAUCCACGGAGAAUGUGGUCACGGGAGGAACACGGGACAGAAUGGACGGGGAGCCACCAACCUUUCUGUGUUCCUUCACGGAGCGUGGAACCCCUUUAGACAUCAGCCCCGUUUGCUCCUUGCCCCAGGUUGCUGUUGCUGUCAUUCCCACCUCCCAUAAGAGGGCAGUGAAGCUCAGGGAGGCCACGGUGACACAGCCAGAAACAAAUGGAAGGGUGACUGGCAUCCAGGGGUGUCCGUGGAGUUGGGAGGAGGGAGCUGAAUCAGUAUUCUACCCCUUUUUUGCCAGCACGGCUGGAGAGGAGUCAUCUGACUCUGCUAAGCCCCUGGUUCAUGUCUAUAACAUGUUAAUAACAGCGUGACCUCCCUGGGAGUGGGAGGUGAGAGCUGAAUGAUAAAAUAUAUUCAGAAGGCUCAACCCGUUCCUGGGAAAAUGGGAAGCAAACAUGUAUUUGGGAGGCGGUGCAGGACUUGAAAUUCUGUGUUCCUCCUGCUUGAGCAAACAGGUUUUCUGUUGUCCGUUCUCUGCCAUCCCUUCCCCAGGCACAGGGCACCUCAUCAACUUACAGUUUAAUAGACCCUUCCAGAAGGCUGUGUCUUCACCCCGAGAUCCAGGGCCGGGCCAGGGCAGCUCUUGGGGGUGGGCAGGAAGGCAGGAGCCCACUCCAGGUCGCUGGCAGGGUGGGUCCUUGGUGGGGCAGCUCCACAGGCUUCCUGAGUUCGCAAAUAGCACACGCUAAGAGCGAGGCUGGGUUUCUGGAACUGUGAGUCCCUCUUACCCAGGAAACCCCGAACUGCGGCUCAAUGAGGCUCUAAGCAACUCUUGUGCUUUCAGACACGGGAAAAGGGUGCUUUCAGCAGGCGUCUUACUUCCAAAGGCUUCAUCUUAAAGGCCAGGGCCUCUUAGUUCUGAACACAAGAGAGAAACACAGUGCUUGGGUGAAGGGAGGAUUGGAUUGUUAAGCCAGCUGCAGAAUUUGCAGGAGGGAAAAAAAAUCUUGGAAAGAGAUUUGGUCUGUUUUCCUCUCUACACCAACAAGGCACAAGGAUUUGACUCCCCGAAGGAACAGUACUCUGAUUUUGAGACUUGCAAUUUUUAAGCAUGAUAUUUAUUUUCAUUCAAGUAAUGGAAGAGUCAUAAAUAUGCAGCUUCAGAGGAUCCAGAACUAAAGACCCACUUUCCCCUUGAAAGGUCCCCACUAACCCCUGCCUGCCUGCGGCAGUGGAAGCUGUCAUCUGGUCCCCAGUUCCCACUGCUGUCUCUGAACUUGGGACAUAUCAGGACCUGGAUCACCCAAUCCAGUCCUCAUUUGCACUAAGUUCUGUGGAAAAGAAAGGAAAAAAAAACGUUUAUUUACUUAGUGCAGCAGUUUUCUUACGUUUGCAAAUGGAGGAAUCACUGGGAGGCACUAGUAAAAAUGCAGAUUUCCAGGCACAGUCCCAGAGAUUCGAAUUCAGUUGUGCUGGGUAGAGCCUGGCAAGCUGCAUUCUUUACAAAUGCCCCUUCCCCAUCCCACCUCCAGAUGAUUCUUAAGUUUGCUGUCCCCAGGGCCACACUUAGCACCUACUAAAGACCAGACGCUCCACAAGAUACUUCUUCUAGCUCCCAAAUUAUUGAUUUCAGGAAUUGUUGUGUUUAUAUCCAUAAAGUCUUAUUACAAAAUAGUCGUCUCUGAUUUUACAGAUGGAGAAGUUAAAGCUCAGGGAUUCGGUAACUCCCUCCCCCCCACACAGGGAGGAAGUUGUAUGUUCACUAGUGUCUCUACAGUUCCUAAAGCCACACGCUAUUUCAUCUCCUUGAAAAAUAGAGGUGCCUCUUUCCCCACCUGUCAGUAGAUAUGGCAGUAAGUGCUUUAGUAAGAGUAGGUGCUAAUAAGAGUAGAUACUAAUCGCAGAGGGUUAAAUAAGGUAAUAUUAGGUUUAACCAUAUGAAAUAGUUGACAUUCAACCAUUAAUAACCUACAAAAGCAGCAGUUUCAAUUAUGGGUCUAAUAAUUGUAAAGUGCUGGGCAGAGUACCUGGCAUAAAGUAAUAGCUCAGUAAAUAUCUAGUAUUAUUAGAAACUGUUGUGGGUAGAACUGUGUUCCCCAAAAGAUAGGUUGACAUCCUAGUCUCUGGUACCUGUGAAUGUGACCUCAUUUGGAAAUAGUCUUUGAAGAUGUAAUUAGUUAAGUCACAAUGAGGUCAUACUGGAUUAGAGUGGACCCUCGAUGCAAUGGUUGGUGACCGUAUAAGGAGAGAGACUUAGAUACACAGACACCCAGAGGGGAGACAGCCAUGUGACUACAGGAGCAGAAAUUGAAAUGACGUAGCUACAAGCCGAGGAAGCCAAGGAUUUCCAAUAACCACCAGAAGCUAGAAGAGACAUGAAAGAUGAAUCCCCUAGAGCUUUCGAAGGGAAAUGGCCCUGCCAACACCCUGAUUUCACACUAGUGGCCUCCAGAACUGUGGGAGAAUCAAUUCUUAUUGUUUGAAGCCCCCAAGUCCAUGGCCAUUUGUCACAGUAGCCCAAGGAGACUAACACGGAAGCUUCAUCCCUCUCGUCGCCUUUGUGGUCACCACCACUACCCCAUUCAUCACCAUCAUCUUCUAGAGGACAAGACAGGGCAGCAGACUCAGAUCCUAGAACGAAAAUAUGAUGCUGGCAUGCUAAUUGCGUGAGACAACUCGGCCCGCAGACAGCCACAAAGCACAAAAACAAACAAAACAAAACUCAGAGAAGAAACGAGAAUGGUGUUUUCCUGGCGUCUACAAGAAGCGCUUUAUUUUUCCUCUAGAUUGCUUUUCUAAAAAAACAAAACGACAAAAAACAAAACUGAAACAUUUAAAGGAACAAGACAAAAAACUUCAGGUGAUACUAUUCAAGCACGUUCUUUUAUUAAGUGUAGGAUGAGAGGAACAAGAGGACACGGAAGCAGGAUGCUGAACACUGAGGGGCUGUGAACCUCUGCGAUGGCGUUGUUUCCCAAAACUGUGAGUGAAGAAUGGAGGGAACAUCUUUUUAUCCCCCAUCCCCAAAAUAUCCUGUAAUGGCGCAAGACUUCCUUUCCUGCCUGUCAAGGUAUCUAGGGAAUGAUUUACAAAAUGUGUUUGUUAUAAUCGCUAAAGAAUCUUUUGUAUAGCUUUGGCCGGGGAGUUGGUGGACCAGUAGUUGGUGGACCAGUACUUGGCGACCCAGUAAUUGUGUCUAUCCCACCCACUUCUAAGUGUCACCUCCGUCUCGGCUGGAACAAGGUUCAGAGGGUCCUCUCUCCAGUAGUUGACAAGGCCACUCCGACUUGAUCAGGCUGAAGUUAUCUCCUGGAUCAGUGCAGUGAAGGAUAAACACUGGCCUUUUUCUUCCCUAAAUAAGAAAAAGGCAGCUCCUGGCUACUGUGUGGCCGUGGAGGCUGUGCCUGGGGCGGGGGAGUGGGGCACCAGGCUGUCCUACACCGUGAGAAUUGCUCGUGCUUCUACCGUGAGACCAAGAACCUACCGAGCAGCUAAGCUUCACUUUCAAACAGGCCAUCACCAGGGGAGCAGAGGGACCCAGGCCUGCCCCAGCCCCAGAAAAGACGUAUUAUCCCUUUACCCCCAGAACUCCCUGCUUCCCAGUGGUACCUAACAUUUUUCGCUCUGUUGUGACGACUCUUAUAUCCUUGACUCUAGCGGAUCUGGGUCGGAGGGACAUGGAAGCCCUGGCAUGAUAAGUCGGAAGGGGGCCAGCGCUGGCAGUCACGCCCGAGCGCUCGCGCGUGGUGGGCGUGUGCGCUGAUCCUUGCCGAGCGCCCACUUAGCCGGACGGGCUGCCAAGUCCUUCCUGGAUCAGCCUCUCGCUGAGCGCCCACAGGGCCCGGGCCGUGUCUUCGCUCUGGGCUUCCGUCGAGGGCAUGCAGCGGCAGCAGCUGUUGAAGUACAUCCCUCCCAGACCCUCCAGUUCUGGAGCGGCAGCACAGUAGACGGUGGUGGCGGCUCCUUGUUGCUGGAAAGCAAAGAACAAAGACCACGGAACGUUAUUUUUUUAAGAAAAGAGGUGAUGGAAUGAUUUUCUUCUAACUGGGAAUGAGCAAGAGUCUCUCCCCGCCUGGUUCAGAUGCAUCUGGAUCUCAGCACGGCCGAGGGUACCGAACUCAAAGCACGUGACUGUAAAAGGUACGAUGGGACCAUCCAGGGAAAACGAGUUCAUAAACUCCGCUCGUAAAGCUAAUGUGACUUUUUACACCUCAUAUAGGAAAAGGCUUUGAACACAGACUACACGUCUAUCAGUUAAUCACAUCAGAUGUCUCUUCUGAGCAACGAGAAGAUGGGAUCCUUUUGAACACGCAAGAACAAAUUCAUCCAACUCCCUCACUUCUCAACGCAUAAUGUCAUUUGACACUGAGAAGUUUCUAGAAACUUCUCUCUGAACUAAAGCAACCACUCUAAUCAUGGCCCAUCAGGUAGAAAACCAAGCGGGACUGGUGCCAGAUUUUUCCUUAUUCGUUGCCCAUGGGGCUGCUAGAGGAAGGGUUUGUGAUACUGUGUUAAAAUGUUUGAGACGCACGUAAACACAUGUUCCCCACCAUCACACAUGCCUCAGGCAGACACAAGACACGUUUGUGAAUUUAUCCUUACCCUGGAAACCUUUUCAGAAGUAUUGUAUUCAGCCCAUACUUGCAGUGGGACAGUGGCUUGGGGGGCCAUGUCCUCCCAGCCCCCUUCAAAAUGCAAGUUGCAAUGAGUGCAAUUGAUCACUUCCGAUUGACCUUUUGAGUAGCAGUUGGCGCUGUGGCUAGGGACGUGUGUGCCAAUGGGGCACCGUAUCAUCCGGGCUGACAGAAUACUGUCAGGGAUGCUGGAAAGAGGGCAAGAAAUCACUUUGCUUUGCGAAAGCCAUAAUUAAAAAUAAUAGGCUGGUGUUCAUAGGGGGACACCGUCGGCACGGCUCUCAUUUGAAACCAAUAACAGUUUAUCUGGCGUCUUAUGAUUAUUUAUGUGCAUCACAGCCCUUGCUGCAUCAACUAAUUAUCAGUUGACAGAGAAGGGGGCUGGGAGGCAGAGGAGAAUGGAGAAAGAUAACUGGGGAUAAGGUCAACGUUAGGAAAACAUUAAGGACGUCUAAUUGCGAGGGAAGUGAGUUUCCAUCCCCACCCAAAAGCUUACUCUUUUUCUCCCCCUACAGGGUUUAAACUGGUGCCCAAGCAGAGAGCUUACUGGAGAGCAUCCCCCCCCCAUAGGGUUUGGUUUGCAUUCACAGUGGUUGUUUCGUACAACCCUCGGGAGCCAAGGUCAUUCUGAGAAUCAAGGUCUCAAGGUAUUAUGAUUGUAGGGAAGUUCUAUAAAGUAGACUUGGGGUUUUUGUUGCAGGGGGGCGGGGGGACGUUUAUUGCAUUUGUCUGAAAACCAUAUGGUCAAAUACAUUGAAGUGACAGGCUUGUGCAGAGGAGGGUGGCGUGGCAUGGGAGUGGGAUACCUGAGUUCUCAUAAUAACGGGCUGCUUGACUGUAUUGGACAAGGCCCUUUGGCCCAAAAAUUGUACCCCUGACGUGACUUCUCUUUAACGAAAUAGUGAUCGGUGUGUGAUUUCCCCAGCCCUGUCACCCAUGCCCACUCCCCAAACAAACAGCCAAUUGUUUCUUUUCUUGGGUUCACCUGUUUCUUUUCAAUUUGUUGGCUCAGGUAUAAUGGACAUGAGCCCAUGUCAUCCAAAUUUCCUUUCACUGAAUUAUUAUUCCUAAUAACCCUUAGCUUAGCACAUUUAUCUAACGAAGUUCCAGUGGCUUAUCUGGCGCCCCUGCAUCCCAUGUGGGGAAAAAAGGCAAGCAAAGCACCUCUAAAGACAAAUGGAAGAAUAGAGAUGCUCAUCUCGCCAACCCAAGCAAAUAUCAUCUUGGCCUCAAUUCUUAGCAGAUGUCAGGUGGAGAUGGUGUUUUUGAAUAAUUUUCUGGAUAUCUGUUUUCCAUUUCCAUUGUACUUUGCAACUGCCCAAACACCAAAGAGUGGUCAGGCCCCUUGGCAUCAGCUCUCAAGUGGUGGGAGAAGCCAGUCAGCUCAUCCCUAAAUCCAGGCUCCCUCAACCCCACCCCAGAGCGGUUAUAGUAUCAGCAUUCAUACAUCACAACAAACUGGCCCCCUCACAGCUCCACCGAUCCUGAGAAAAGAUCAAAGUUGGCCACUUGGGAAAGCAACAAACGGAAUUCUUCCAAACCCAGUGUAAUCUUUUGCCACUCUGACAUUCUAAAAUGAUACCAUGCUGCACUCUCUUGCAUUGUUGGAAUGGUAUUUUUGCAGAGAAAUUCUGCGCUUACGUUGAUUCAGAAUCGAGUUGAUGAGGGAGCCGGGGGGCAUGCAUUUUCCCUCCACGGAAUGUGAAAGCAAUCGCAGUCGACCUCAUUUCAUGUAAACCGCCACUUGGCUACCACGCUGACAACCGUAAAGUUGAGUAAAGCCCAAUCUUUUAUCAAGAGCUGGCUUUGAUUCCUUUGCCACCAGGCUCAGGGUGAUGCACAAUUUAAAUCAUCACCAGCGGUGCUGACUCUGUAGAACACAUACAGCAGGGCAUCUGAAAGCAAAGACCACCUUUUUCCGCUCCGAAGAUCAACUGUGCACAUUUGGCAAAGAGAGACUGGACGGUGAAGUAGUGACAGCAUCUUUUCGUCCCAAGCCCACGACCCUUUCGGCUUCUCAGGGAAUGCUCUUUUCAGCUGCACCUGUGGCGGCCUCUGAGUGACAUCUUUAUAUGAUCAGAUGGGAUGACGGUUUAAUAACAAGGUCUAAUUUGGGGUCAUCAGCUUUUGGCCUAUCACCAGGGUGAGAUGGAGCCGCGUGAGGAAAUCUCAUUAGUAAAGAAGCUGGUUCUGCUGAUACAAGAGAAAACAUUUUUAAACUGAUAGAAGAAAAAUUUUUAAAGAGCACUUUCAUCGCCAUCAGAUGACUUUCAUGCCACUCUGGUGGGGGGGGCAUCAGUCCGUAAUCCAGAAAAAAAUGAAAGAGCCCUAUCGAGGAAAUGAUGUUACCAACUCUGAUACAGAAUAUCUGCCUUGCUGGUUGGCACCGCUGCGUACUGAUCCGUCGUGGUACGAUAACAGCCAUAUCUUGACAUAUAUAAACACUAGCAGGAGCUGUGGGUUCCCCUCAGUGAUUUUUUUAAGAACAAAUUCACGGGAAGCCUGGAGGUUGCAUGCCGUUGCUGAUCAUGGGAACCGGGGUGGCGACUCUGUCCUGUAGCAGCGGCAGUGAGUGAGGGCGUGGAUCGCACGGGGCUGAGGAGUUCUGGGAAGCCCAGUAGAAUCUUGAAUCACGCCUGAAUGCCAUUUCCGAUUUAGUCAAACAUUUGCAAGCUGCCAAAGGAGAACUACGCCAUCAAUCUUUAUAGUGUCUGUACAAUUACCCAGGAUUCUAGUUUGGGAUUAAGUUAAGAGCAUCUGGGUAAUAAGGGGGUUCAUCAUUCUCUUUCAGAAAUCAUUUGCCGGAUGAGCGGCACAGUUUUCAACUACAGAAAGGUGGGAGUUAGAAAGCAGUUACUGUUCAUUUAUCGUUGGGGCCCUGCGGUCUAAAUCAUCCAUCCUUCCGAAGCCCUUGGUUGGGAUGAAACAGUGACGUAGCCACGUUUCAACAACAUUUACUUGAUAACCACUGGCCCUCAAUGUGCAGCUGUCCACACAGACUCCAAAUGAAUAUUCACUCUUUGCAAGAGAAAGGUACAGGGGUUUCUGAUCAACAAUCUAGGCUUAAGGAAAAAUCCACCCACAUGUUAAUAUUUGUAAUGCAUUGGUAGGUACGCUAAUAUAACUUACGUUUUAAUAAGGACACGUUACACAAUUAUGUUUAGUUUUCAGGUUUCUCUACUUUUAAAAUGCAUGCUUCGUUAAAAAAGAAAGGAUAAAUUCCUGUCUUAAAAUACAUUUGACUCUGAGACACCUAAAAAAGUAGCCACACUACCAUGGGAUAUCUGUAUAGUCAAUGAUUUUGAGAGUAGCAGAUGUUUUCCUACAGACACUGUGAGAAAGGGAAG
Long non-coding RNA from Orcinus orca (killer whale), 8846 nucleotides. RefSeq lists it as uncharacterized. The transcript has 3 exons. Lineage: Eukaryota; Metazoa; Chordata; Mammalia; Artiodactyla; Delphinidae. The record is from RefSeq and is a predicted model, not a curated record.